GGCCUUCCUCAGGUCAAAUCUUAUCUGACUCUUUCUCCCUCCUGUGCUUUAUCUUGGUCUACAUUUAGAGAAACCCGGGCCAUGAUGUUUGGAAGAACAGGUCCCUUCUUCACCGUAAAGAAUCUGGAAUUUGGAAAGGAGAAGAGCUUAUAAAUGGAGGAGUCAGGAUUUGAACCUGGAUCUGUCCAGCCUCUUGCCCUGACCCACACAGAGAGUCUGGGGCUUGGACGGUGUGGACAAGUGUACCCAUUUCCUUCUUCUGGCCAGGUAUGAUGGAGCUUUGGACCAUUCAUCAGUUGUCAGGGACAUUUGGACGAAACCCUCUAAAGGUGUACAAAAGGUUCUGGGAUUUGAUACGAGGCAACAGAAGAGGGACUCCCAGGCCAAGAACAUGCGGUGCUGGCUGUCACUGCUAUUUAAGCCCUGUGGGGACUUAGUGAGAACACAGAAGGUGCCACCUAUGAUGCAGAGAUUAAGACUAAUUGGACACUGGAUCUGCCAGCGCCUCAAUCUUGGCCUCUUCCAAGUUUCCAGAACUAAGUAUUUGACCCGAGGAUGGGUGAAGCCCUGCAUGGAUCCUGGGAUGGGUUUCUCGACUUGGGGUUUCUCUAGGAGCCUGGAGCUCUGGUGCUCUUGGGUGCUUCAUAGCCAGAUAAUGCAACUUUGGAAGCCAUACAACGGAGCUGCAAGAUGGAAGGAGGCUGGGCCUUCAAUCACUCUUUGGAGAAGAGCUACCCCACUCUUUAGGUGUGCCAUUGAGAAUUAGUAUCCCAUAUGGUUAGGAAGUCUAUGACUUUUGAUGUCGGAGAUGGAACUAUCUAGAAAGAGGAGCUAAACAAGACUUCCUCCACACUCCGCUCUUCAGGUUGUAUCUUAUUAUCAAGCUCAUUUCUGAUGUUCUCUGUGGCUGCCUCCCUUGGUUAAAAACAUGUAAGUAUGGACUAGAGUGAUGGGGCAGGCAGGAUGAGUAUUCACAGGGCUGUACCCCCCACCCCCGGUCUUUGCCACCCAAUGCAGACAUGACCACAAGCUAAAAAUUAGGAAAGGUGUUUUAGCCAGGUAGUCUGGGUGGCAUGUGAGAAUGUGAAGUAGAAAAGUCUCUGCAGAAAAUGGAAUAGCAAAUUCCUAGAUCACCAUGUUAGAAGAUGGGUCUAGGCUCAUGGUACAUCUACUGUGCCAUGACCUAACCCUGGGAUCCAGGAGCCUCUAAAACAUCAUGAAGGUCCCUGUGAAUUUCUGGGAAGCUCUUGCAGGUCCUUGUGCCUCAGAUCCUCCUGGGAAUAUCAGUUAUCCUGAUCUCCUUCCAAAGACCUCUUUUGUUUAUGUGCGCUGGGUGGUCUCCGUAUACCCCUCUUAAUGUAGAUGUGUAAACUGGAGGAAUCUUGGGUAUCAUCUGGCUCUGCACCCAUCAAUGUACAAAAGAGGAAGUAGAUAAAACUCAGGGACAAUGUCCAGCACAGGAUCUGUCACAGGUAGGUACUGCAUAAAUGAUAUUUGCCCCUUUUCCUUAAAUAACUUCCUCGCAGUCUCACAGUGCUCAGGCUAGAAAUACCCAAAGCUCCCAGGUUUGAGUAUCUGGUGUGUCAAAGAACAUGCUGGCAUUUUAAUGUACUCUGUUGCAUUUAAUUCUCACCAACAUCUCUAAAGCAGAUGUCAUUUUCCCACUUAACUGACGAGGAAAGGAAGGCUCAAGAAGUUAAUUAACCGGAUCUGGUAAUUAGAAGUCUCCUGACUCCCAAUUUGAAUUCUCCCCCCUCUACUACCCUGGCUUCAGGGUUGAGGACAACAGUUUUCUAUUAUUUUUCAGUGUAAAUUACUUAACCAACCGACAGAUACCUCGUGGCUGCCUCCCAUCAAGAUAAUAGCGCAGAGCACCUCUCUGUUUAAAUACUGUACUUUAUUCUCUUGAUGGUGCUUAUCCACGAGAGUCCUUUAUUUGUUUGCGAGUAUAAACUCCAAGAAGACAAGGUCUACAUCUUGUUAUCUGCCAUGGGUAUGGGGUUGAGAGAAGGACUUGGCGCAAAGCAGAAUUGCAAUGCAUCUUUACGGAGUGAAUGAAUGAAAGAAAUGCGUAAAUGAAAGAAAACCGACUGUUUCCAUUCCCACUUUCAGGGGUGCUUCCCUGGUCCUCCUCUGGAAUUUGGGUCUCUCACUGCAGCUGUGAAGGCCUCCAUGCAUGUCUGUGCUCACAGCUCUGUAUGGAGGGAAGAAACAUGGAAUGAUCACAUGAGUUGCCCCUCUGUCCUUCCUGCUGGCAGAGGCCUGGCUAGACAGUCUUUGGCAGCAGAAGGCUCUUCAGGUUGUCUGAACUAUCUGCCUGCCUGUGACACAUACAUGCUAUUUAGUUCCGGAUCAGGUGUUGGGAGGCCUCAGUUGGUUUCUCAGAGCUCAGCUCUGCCUGAGAAAGGAAUGGGAAGGGCUUCGAUGGAUGGCAGGGACCGCACAUCCCGCUUCACCUCCCUUGCCCACUUCCGCUCUGCCGGAGGCAGCCCAGCCAAGGACAGUGCACAGGGUCAAGUUUCUCCUUGCAGAUUGCUCUGCGGUGACUGGAGGGGAGUCUGAGGGUGAGGAGAAGGUCCUCCUCGAAGCAGUGACCUUCGCCUUUAGAGCUCCCACGGGGUGUUAGAUGAGAGGGUCAAGCAGUCACUUUUCAGCACGGGGAGACUCUCAGGACCUGGCUCUGAACCCUAGCUCUGGCUUCUCCUAACCAUGUGACCGUGACCGUGGGAAAAUCCCUUGUCCUCUCUCUACCAAUCUCCCCAUCUGUAAAAACGGUCUAAGAAUAGAACCCACCUCAGAGAUGCGGUAGGGAGAAAACUCAGGGGUAUUUCUAAAGUUGUUAGGGUGGUCCUGGCGCGUGGUUAGACCUGUGUUGUGAGUGCUAUAUAAAUAGGAACAAUCACUGUUAGACCUCCCAUGUAGAUGUUAUUAUGUAAUUUAUACAAUACUCUCCCACAUAUCAUGCCUUUUGAUGGUUUCCCUGUGACAGUGGGGAGUUUAAUAUUUUCCCUUUCCUUUUAUUCUGUUUUCUUUUCUUUUCUUUUUUUUUUUUUUUAGGUGAAAGACCUGAUGAGAGGUGAACUGCAUGGUUUUGAACACCUGGAUUUAGUAGGCCCCUAACAUAUUUAUUUAGUUCUUGUUAAAAUUUGGACUUGGAAUGUCCCCUAGAGGCUCAUGUGUUGAAGGCUUGGUCCCCACUGCAGCAAGAUACAGAGGUUGGGCUUUUGGAAAGUGAUUGGAUCCCGACGGCUCUGACCUUACCAACAGUCCAAUCCAUUGAUGGAUCCAUGGCUGAAUGGACCGUUGGGGGGUGGUGGAAACUGUAGGGGUGGGCCUAGUUGGAGAAAUAGGUCACUGAGGGCAUGCCCUAGAAGAGGACAUCUUGUCCUGGCCCCUUCCUUACUCUGUCUCUGCUUUCAAGCCACCACAAAUGAGCAGCUCUGCUCUGCUACAUGUUCCUUGACUUGAUGUUCUGACUCAUGACAGGUCCAGAGUGAUCAUCAUAGAAACCAUGCCAUCACAGAAACCAAGUGAUCAUGGACUGAAACCUCUGAAAAUGUGAACCAGAAUAAACCUUUCUUCUAUUAAAUUGUUUUCUCAGAUAUUUUAUUACAGUAAUGAAAAGCUAACUAAUACAUUCUCAUAACAAUUGUAGAAAGUAAAUAUCAUUAUUCCUAUCAUACAGAUUUGAAGAUAGUGGCUCCCCUGUCAGAGUCUCAUUGAAAGGCUAUGUGCACUUUGGGUGACCUGCCCAUCUUUGUGUCCCUGGCAGGAGCUGUCAACUUAGCACUUCAGCAAUGGCAAAUACAUCUGAAACAAAAACCCCAAGUAACUCAAUUCUUUGGAGAAUGGGAUAUACAAACAAAAGAAAAGAAACUCGUGUUAAGUGCAAUUAUGAUUUACAUGUCUCAAUAGAGCUUAAUAAAAAAAUUCAUGUCUGGUCCAUGAAGGGCCAUUCCUUGGCCGUGAGAUCAUAGGAAAAAAAAACCUGUGUGAGUGCUGGAAGAGAUAUGACUAGGACAAGAAGAGUUGAAAAAGAGAUGCUCAAAAGCUACCUGGUUCAACAAUGGAGACAGCCAGGUAUAGCUUAGGCAGACUGUUAUUGUAAUUUCUCUAUAACUAAACAGUUUGAAAUGGGUUUUGAGAGGAAACAAGGGCAGGAUCUUGACUCAGUGUGAUAGGGUCUGUGUAGAAAUGCCCUUCUACAUAUAUGUAAUAUUACAUACAAUACAUAAAUAUAUUCUAUAAUUGUGAUAUCCACGUAUUAAUUUACUAAAGCUACUAUAGUAAAAUGCCACAUGCUAGAUGGCUUACACAUCAAAAAAUUUAUUUUCUUAUAAUUCUGGAGACUGAAACUCCAAGAUCAGGGUCUGACAGAGCUGGUUUCCUCUGAGGCUUCUCUUCUUCUCUUGAAGGUAGCCAGCCUCUUGCUUCCUCUUCAUAUGAUUAUCCCUCUGUGCAUGGGCACCCAGAUGUCUCUUCCUUGUCUUAUAAGGACACCAGUCAUAUUGGAUUAAGGCAUACCCAUAUGACCUCAUUUAACCUUAAUUAUACCGUUGAAGGCCCUAUCUCCAAAGAUAGUCACCUCCUGAGGUACCAGGGAUCGGGGUUUCAACAUAUGAAUUUUAUGGGAACAUGAUUCAACCUGUACAACCUUAUUUUUUUUGAUCCAACUUAUUUGCUAUGACCUCCUUCUCCUAGAAAUAGAGUUAAUUUCAAGAUAAAAGAAACUAAUCUUUAAAUAAUUUUUGAGGCUAUCAUA
Marmota monax (woodchuck) is the source of this 4762-nucleotide long non-coding RNA. RefSeq lists it as uncharacterized. NCBI's taxonomy places the organism in Eukaryota, Metazoa, Chordata, Mammalia, Rodentia, Sciuridae. The record is from RefSeq and is a predicted model, not a curated record. The transcript has 8 exons.